Molecule: long non-coding RNA, 1237 nt
Organism: Macrobrachium nipponense
Lineage: Eukaryota; Metazoa; Arthropoda; Malacostraca; Decapoda; Palaemonidae
Exons: 5
Source: RefSeq, a predicted model, not a curated record
UCUCUCUCUCUCUCUCUCUCUCUUCUCUCUCCCACGCCAUAUUUGAUAUUGCAUUAACGUAAAGAUUUAAUACUUAGUGAUUGGUCACUCGUAAAUUUUGGAGUUAUUUAGUAUUACUUAGUGCUUAUUGUGAAAUCUGAACAAACAUUGUACAAGUGUGUAACGGCACCUUUACUUUUUUUAAAUAUAGUGUGGAACUAGCUGCAGCAGAAAAUUGGUUCCAAGGUACGGCAUCUAGCUUGUGUUGGGGUGUGAUGCCAAUUCGCAUUACAUGUGUAAUGCGAUUGCUUACUUGGGGAAGGACAUAGUCAUAGUCAGGGUGCCGAGAGGACAGACGUAUUUAUUUGUGUGGCACCAUUCGACAGAAACCUUAUAUUCCUAAGGAACUUUCUGAGGUGUUUCACGUCAAGGACUUAGUGGUCGUGCUCAAUUACGAACACAAUUUGACUCUUUAGUGUAAGCAAGUCAGCAGGACUAAAAAUGUGAUGCUGUUGAGUUCCCUGCUUCAUUUUCCGUCUGAGAUCGAAAGAAGGAGAUGGAAGACGGACAUUCAGAUAUUCUAUAAUGCAACGAAAGGGGGUGUAGACACAUUCGAUCAGAUGUGUUAUACAGCAAAUUGUGUUCGUAAUACACGACGCUGGCCCUUUUGUUUUUUCUAUUGGAUAUUGAAUAUAAUUAUGGUGAAUUCUUACAUUCUCUAUUCGUCCCUGCUAUCAUCAAAGAGUUUGACAAGGCAAAGGUUCCUGAAGGAGGUCGCCCUUGAAUUUUGUGCUCCCCUUGUAAGUCUUCGGUAUUACACAUUAACCAACUUGUCCAAGCCCCUCCGUGUGCUGAUGGCGGAUACAUUCAGGCUGGCUGAGCUUGAACAUAGACCACCUCCUGCCGUUGGCCACGUCGAGCUGCCCAAGCGUGUUCGCUGCCAAAGCUGCCAUUUAGGGAAGACCACAAGAUAAACACGGCAUGUUUGCGGUGUAACGAGCCCGUCUGCCUGCAGCAUCAAAUUGUCUUGUGUCCACGGUAGCAAAUUUGGCCGUCACACUUGGCGUGGUCGGGAGUCAUUUUGCAGACAUACCCGAAUGGUGGUAGAUGUGGCCGCUGGAGUAGGUAUCGACUGCGGCCAUUUUGUUAGCAUAUCCAAAAGAUUUUGACCUCUAUCGGUCCAACACCUCUGGCAGUCUCUUAUUGUAAAUAGUAGAUUUUGGAAGGAUUCCUUCAAUUUUUGUGUAUUUAUAGGUUA